UGCCAGCCGCCGCGGUAAUACGGGGGGUGCAAGCGUUGUUCGGAAUUAUUGGGCGUAAAGCGUGCGUAGGCGGACUGUUAAGUCUGAUGUGAAAGCCCUCGGCUCAACCGAGGACCUGCAUUGGAUACUGGCAGUCUUGAGUCCCGGAGAGGAUAGCGGAAUUCCUAGUGUAGAGGUGAAAUUCGCAGAUAUUAGGAGGAACACCAGUGGCGAAAGCGGCUAUCUGGACGGUGACUGACGCUGAGGCACGAAAGCAUAGGUAGCAAACAGGAUUAGCUA
This 279-nucleotide ribosomal RNA is filed under the name uncultured bacterium. RNAcentral describes it as "partial 16S ribosomal RNA". It matches the Rfam family "Bacterial small subunit ribosomal RNA", at positions 506 to 784 of the family's 1533-position model. The record is from RNAcentral.